GUUCCAAGGCACAGCACAACUAAACACAACCUGCCCGCUUCGCAGACACACGCCGCACACGCGCUCCCUUGGUGAGCACAGCAGAAGCAGCAUUCGGAGACCCGUACACCCGAAAAGCAAACGUCACACACCCGGUUCGCACAGACUACACUCAUUGCCUGUACAGCACGAGAACGGACACACGGUACAAUUCAACAGAAC
This 201-nucleotide long non-coding RNA is filed under the name Homo sapiens (human). Its description in RNAcentral is "HSALNT0173302". The record is from RNAcentral. Lineage: Eukaryota; Metazoa; Chordata; Mammalia; Primates; Hominidae.